RNAcentral lists this ribosomal RNA (747 nucleotides) under Trentepohliaceae sp. Kukwa 19363. Its description in RNAcentral is "SSU rRNA". It matches the Rfam family "Eukaryotic small subunit ribosomal RNA", at positions 287 to 1043 of the family's 1831-position model. Lineage: Eukaryota; Viridiplantae; Chlorophyta; Ulvophyceae; Trentepohliales; Trentepohliaceae. The record is from RNAcentral.
GCGAUGUUUCAUUCAAAUUUCUGCCCUAUCAACUUUCGACGGUAGGGUAGUGGCCUACCGUGGUGGUAACGGGUGACGGAGGAUUAGGGUUCGAUUCCGGAGAGGGAGCCUGAGAAACGGCUACCACAUCCAAGGAAGGCAGCAGGCGCGCAAAUUACCCAAAUCCCAACUCGGGGAGGUAGUGACAAGAAAUAACGAUGCUCCGGCCAUCGGUCGGGUAAUCGGAAUGAGGACAAUUUAAAUCCCUUAUCGAGGAUCAAUUGGAGGGCAAGUCUGGUGCCAGCAGCCGCGGUAAUUCCAGCUCCAAUAGCGUAUAUUUAAGUUGCUGCGGUUAAAAAGCUCGUAGUCGGAUUUCGGGUGGUGCCUACCGGUCCGCCCUUGGUGUGUACUGGUAGGCGCCACCUUUCUGCCGAGGACGGGUUCCUGGGCUUAGCUGUCUGGGGCCCGGAGUCGGCGAUGUCACUUUGAGUAAAUUAGGGUGUUUAAAGCAGGCUUAUGCUCUGUAUACACUAGCAUGGGAUGACACGAUAGGACUUCGGUCUAUCUUGUCGGUCUGUAGAUCGGAGUAAUGAUUAAGAGGGACAGUCGGGGGCAUUCGUAUUUCGUAGUCAGAGGUGAAAUUCUUGGAUUUACGGAAGACGAACUUCUGCGAAAGCAUUUGCCAAGGAUGUUUUCAUUGAUCAAGAACGAAAGUCGGGGGCUCGAAGACGAUUAGAUACCGUCGUAGUCUCGACCAUAAACGAUGCC